GCUCCUGUAGUCUAGUGGUUAUGAUGUCUCCUUUACACGGAGAAGGUCCUCAGUUCAAACCUGAGCGGGAGCA
Non-coding RNA from Thoreauomyces humboldtii, 73 nucleotides. NCBI's taxonomy places the organism in Eukaryota, Fungi, Chytridiomycota, Chytridiomycetes, Spizellomycetales, Powellomycetaceae. The record is from the annotation of a GenBank genome assembly.